Molecule: long non-coding RNA, 419 nt
Organism: Anastrepha ludens (Mexican fruit fly)
Lineage: Eukaryota; Metazoa; Arthropoda; Insecta; Diptera; Tephritidae
Exons: 3
Source: RefSeq, a predicted model, not a curated record
GAAACGGUGCGAAUUCUUUACUUAUACCCAUGUUUUAUACUGUUAUAAUAAAGUCCUUCCGAUUGAGACUGGGAACUACUUUGUAUUCAGAUGUAAUUGCAUUUUCGGAUGACCUUGCCGGUUUUAGUGGCCAUUGCCCAAGGAACUUUUCCAAAAAGGAACAUAUUACCGGGUGGAUUUUGAAGGUUACAAAUAAGCUCUCCAUUAGUUGUUUGACUAUUUGUGUAACUUAUUUCAACAUUUUUUUCUUUACUCGAAUAUGUCCACGCUCGCCUACUUUUCUUUGCAAUUGCAUGCGUACUUCCAAAGCGUCAGGCACAUACUUUUCUUCUGCUAGACUAUCGAGCACAUUUCGCAGCUCUGUUUUAACGGCAUCAAUACGUUUUAUGUUUUGCGCUGAAAUUGGUAUGACACGUUCA